Molecule: long non-coding RNA, 892 nt
Organism: Fukomys damarensis (Damara mole-rat)
Lineage: Eukaryota; Metazoa; Chordata; Mammalia; Rodentia; Bathyergidae
Exons: 3
Source: RefSeq, a predicted model, not a curated record
UGCUUGUGCCCUUCUGGCUCUAUACCAAGUCCUUUUCUCUCUCCAAUCUCCUCUUCUAAGGGUCAAGACCAAUCAGAGAAGUUCUUGUAUACUUAGUCACCCUGCAACUGUGACCCUGUGUGUGAAUCUGUGUGCUCUGCGUCCACGUGUGAUGAAGAUGUGCCACGUGUGAGCUGGCAGCUGUGCACGGGUCCAUGGGAGUUCACAUAAUAAUGCUGCCGAAGAAGCAAUAACACGUAAUGACCUGAGCAUCACUGCCUUUCUGCUGACAGCUGCCUCCAGCGCCCGGGGAAGUUGGCUGACCUGAGGAGAAGCAAAGGGUGGCUAAUGAGUCAUUAAGAGUCUUUAUCAAAUUAGGAUUAUAAUCCAUCUCAACAUGCAGAGGAAAAUGUUUCAAAUUAUCCACUUUCUUAAUUGCAACUUGAAGAUUUGGCAGGAAAUUAUCACGAGAGAUAAUGCCUGGAAAUUGGCGGAUUGUGCUGGUGUGGUCUAAGCUCCCAUGACUGUAAUAGCUGGAGAAAUCGCCCACACUCCUGUACACAUGUUUGCACUGACACUUGCACAUACGAACCCCUGCUGGCCCACGAUACUACCCAGGCAGGCAGGCAGACAUAGAGUUAUGUCUGUGCACCAUAGGUCAAGCUGUGCAUUUCUUAGUCCAUUCAGAUAGCUUGAGACUCUUGCCAAACACUGAGAGGCUGGGAAGGAGAAGGUAAGAUGUAAAGAAGCACUUAGUCCUUGCCUUUAUGAAGUCAAAAGCUGCUUAGGGAGCUAGUGCACACAUAUUUGAAAUUUUAGAACACACACAAAGCAAUGCACUAAUGAAUCUGCUACAGCACAAUGGUGAGUACAUAUGCUGUGUGGGAUAUAGGACAGAAUUAAGUAAUUUCUA